GAUGAAGAACGUAGUGAAAUGCGAUAAGUAAUGUGAAUUGCAGAAUUCAGUGAAUCAUCGAAUCUUUGAACGCACAUUGCGCCCGCCAGCAUUCUGGCGGGCAUGCCUGUUCGAGCGUCAUUUCAACCCUCGAGCCCCCCCGGAGGCCUCGGUGUUGGGGGACGGCACACCAGCCGCCCCCGAAAUGCAGUGGCGACCCCGCCGCAGCCUCCCCUGCGUAGUAGCACACACCUCGCACCGGAGCGCGGAGGCGGUCACGCCGUAAAACGCCCAACUUUCUUAGAGUUGACCUCGGAUCAGGUAGGAAUACCCGCCGAACUUAAGCAUAUCAAUAAGCGGAA
This 341-nucleotide unclassified non-coding RNA is filed under the name soil metagenome. RNAcentral describes it as "partial contains 5.8S ribosomal RNA, internal transcribed spacer 2, and large subunit ribosomal RNA". The stretch from base 1 to 120 matches the Rfam family "5.8S ribosomal RNA", at positions 35 to 154 of the family's 154-position model. The record is from RNAcentral.